CCUCAUUCCAUUCCAAUCAGCCUUUAUUGAACAUGUACUAUGUGUUAAGGACACAGAGACUAUAUAUCUCUGCCAAAUCACCCCUGUAAAUAUUUCCUGAGCACCUACGAAGUGUAAGCCCAUGUGUUGUGUUCAUGUAUGGAGAGUAUGAGGAGAAAUAGCUGAGGACAUACAGAAGACAAAGAAAAUGGCACCCUGGAUUAAAAAGUGAACCCAGUGAAAAGUGAGACACUGGGAUACAGGAGAGCAACAAAGGUUAGGGGAAGUCAAGAAAUGACUGAGAUCCUAACUCUCCAUCUAUGCAUUAAGAUCUUUAAUGGAAAUGAAGCCCAUACCAUUUUAACAACCCCCCAGAUUAUACUGCUUCUGCUUUCCUUUGAAUGGUCUUUAAAGACCAUUCUAUCUUUGGAAGCUGAGUUGAAGAGAGCUCAGAGAUUCCAGAAUCCUGUAAUCCCACACCCUAACCAUCACAUCCCUAACUUACGCUAGACUCCAGACUAAUUUUUUAAAAAUAAUUUCAACUCCCCUUCCCUAGUUAUUCUGCUUGCAGCUUGUUGGAACCACCCAUUUUGGCCCCUAAUCAUAUGUAACCAUGGGUCUCCUCAUUAGACCACUGGCUGCUGUGAACAUAGACCCAUUUCUUUCAGGCAUCCACACUCUGCAACAAGGCUUACUGUGUUAACUUGACUUAUGGGAUAAGAGAGGAACUUGGGGCUCCCCUCCUCUCCUGCCAUCCUCAAGGGAUGCAGUGCUGCUUCAUGCUGUCUGCUUUUGUGAAUAUCUGCAGGGCUUUAAAUAGAAUCCUGUGGGAAUAACUCCUUUUAAAGGGAAGUUGAAAGCACUUAACUCAGCCAGAACUCGGUAUGCAUCAAAGGAGGAAAAAAGAAUAUAAAGAAGAAAGGAAAAAAAGGAGUCUGAAAGUUUUCUUCAGAGGCUUCAUCAUUCUAAAACUUAUAGGAGUGCUUUCCUAAAAUUAUGGGAAUAUGAGGACAAGAAAGAAGCCAAGAAGCAAGCAGCAUUCCUCGUUCCCAAGGGGAAACACAAACACCCCGAAGCAGAUCUGUCUAAGGUGGCCAUGCAAUGGUUUCAUGAGGCCCAGAAGUAGGUCCAGGUGAAUCCUUUUACAUGUGCCAUCUGUUUCUUGGGGGGACCCUGACUGACCUACCCAUUGAUCUUCAAUGGCACCCAUUUACUUGGCUGCAGCAUGAAAGCACUUUAGAAGGAAGGGAGGGACUCAACCUGGCAGAAGAAGUCAAAAAUGUUCUGAGCCUGGAAAUAGCUCUCUGAGCAGCAAAAUCUUCCAGCAUCCACUUUCUGAAGUGACCCUGAGAGGAGAGGAAGCUCUAGAAAGGAGAGGACAUUUUCUGUCUCUUCCCACACCAGAGAAAUCUUGUAGAAAUCACUUCCCACCCUUCUGUCCACUCCUUCUCUCUCACUUCCACAGAACAAUUUUUACAAGAUGAUUACCCAUAAUAAUUUUCCAGAUGAGGAAACUGAGGCUUAGAAAAAGGUUUCCUGAUCAAGAUUAUACAUGUGCAAAACAGUGAAGCUGGAAUUUGAAGGAUUUCUCUGAGCCAAUAAUGCAUAAACGUAUGCUGUAAGUGGAGGUUGGUCACCACUCAGACUUUGCCAAACAUAUGUGCUUUUUCUUUUCUCCUGGGACAUCAAACACACCUUCACAAAUUCUGUCUCAAGCUAAUUGUGGAGGAGGGGGUUAUUUUUUAAAUUAGUAAACCAUUCAAAGAACACUGGAACUCUGCUAAUGGAAAGGAAGUCAUGAAAAAAUUAGCUAAGUUGUCCUCAUCUAGCAUGAGAGAAAGACCAAGACUGACAUUUUGGUGUGGCAUUCUGUUAUAUCACAAGGAUAUUUGUAUAAGGCACGUGCAAUGCAGAGUUUUUUUUAUAGCUUUUGAACCAAACAUAUGUAUAAAGUAUGUAUGUGCAUACAUAGAUAUAUACAUUUAUACACAUACACAUAUGGGUGUGAGUACACAUACACAAGUGCGUAGUGUGUUGUGUGUGUAUGUAUAUGUGUGUGUGCCUGUAUAUACAUACCAUAUAUACAUGUAUAUAUAUAGAUACGCAUACCAUAUUAUGCAUAAAUAUACACUGUAAGAGGUUGUUCACCACUCAGACUUUGCCAAAUAUAUGUGCCUUUUUUUUUUCUCCUGGGACAUCAAACCCGCCUUGAUAAAUUCUGUCUCAAACUAAUUGUGGAGGAGGGUUUUAUUCUCUAAAGUAGUAAGCCAUUCAAAGAGGACUGGAACUCUACUAAUGGAUACCUACCAUAUAUAUAUAUAUAUGGUAUGUAUAUACACACACACAUACACAACAUGCUACAUAUACUACAUAUAUAUAUGUAUAGUUUCCAGAUUAUAAAGUGAUUAUUUUUAUUUUCUGCUUACUUCGUUCUAGCUGAUAUCCCAUGUAAAUUUCCAUUUUUCCCUCCUGUGAUUUGGGACAAUUUUACUAAUUUGAUGAAGCUCCAUAUGAUCCAUAUGAUCUUGGUAUAUGCAAGUAAAUCAAAGGUCUAGUUUAUAUGAUUGUUGGAGAAAGAAUCCCCUUUGAUGUUAAUAUUGCCAACAGCUCUUUUGUAAAGAAUUGCAUUUUAUUUUGUGCUGUUUAAUAGGAGAGCUGAAUCCCGUCCCCUUGGUUCUAAACUCCAAUGGAAUGUUAAGAUAACUGGCUCUAGGACCAUACCUAGGCCCUGCUCAAAGGUUCGGGGGCUGGCCAGAAGGGAAUUGAACCCUAGUGAACUCUCCAAGAGCCCCAAGGUUAUCACAGCCUCCUUAUGACAGUUGCCUCAAGCCAGAGACCAGUGUCCUUCAUAAUUGAUUUUUCUCCAGUUACAAAACUUUUUGUUCUUGCACAAAGUUUUUCCCCAUGAAACUUGUGUGUCUUUUUAGGUGGAAAUGUGAGAGAUUGGGAGAGGUGAUGAUCUAGAAAGAGAUGACUACAUAUCCUGGUUAUCCUUCCAAGUAUCAUUUAAAUGCUUCUUCUUAUUAUAGUGCUUGUACUUGAGGACAGUGUCACACUUCCACAGCAAUGUAGUUGUAGUUGCGAUGGCACUUCCAUUAUAAACCCCUGUUUUCAGGCGCUCAUGACAGCCUUGGCAAAAAUCACUCUUUGGGCUGAAAUUUCUCAUAUCCGUUCUCACCUCAGAGGUGAAAUUCUUGUUUUGAAUGUCUGGCAGAAAGCUCUGUAUCUGUGACUGUGUAAGUCCUCUCCGAUGGCCCAUGGGGGUGGGAGUCAGGGAGCUAGGAAUUUAAUAGGAAUGAGGUCUAGGAUGUUUAGGGUCCUCACUGGCAUGGUAUUUGGGAAUUGGGACCCCACGAUCACUUUGUGGACCCUGCUCUGGAGUAACCAUGUGAUUCUGCAAGUGACCCUGAUUCCUGGGUACUGAAGAUACUUUAUUAACUCUAGAAGCAGGUCAGUGAAAUGAUUCUUCAGGGAAAGAAUGAUUCUCACCACAUCCAUCUAGGUACACUAUGUGGAAGGAGACAGUAGUCUAGGGCUACAGUGUGGCCUCACCAUCUUUUUCAUUUCUCUAUGCUAUUAUUCAUCCAGAUUUUGCAGCCUGGAAUCCCUUUCCUGCCAUAUUCUACCAAAGCUUUAAUCCAAUUCAUAUGCCACCUUCUCUGCGAAGCCCCUGACUUGUCUUCUCAGUUGAAUUUCUUCUUCCUUGGUAUUCUGAUAGCAUGGUAUUUGGACUACUGAUGUAGCACUUAUUUGCUUUUAUCUCCUAGCAUCCUAAUUUAUGUGUCUUCUGCUAUGCCCCACUCUGCUAUUAGCUUGAAAGCUUCCUGAGGAAAAGGACUCUUGAACUUCUGUAGACAUUGCAAUACCUUGUGUAAAUUGAGUGCUCAAUAAAUGCUUGUUAGAUCAAUUCAUUUCAUUAUCACCACUUACUGAACAACAGCUACAUGCCUAGCACUCUUUGAAGCAAUAGGACAACUUUUUGAGAUUUUGAACCAAAAAACCUAAAUAGAUAUGGUUCUUGCCCUCCACAAACAUGCAAUUUUAGGUGCAUAGCAAGGCUGCAGACAAACCCAUAUUUAAAAUAUAAAGCCAGCAGACCAAUAGAAGACCUAGUGGUAGAGUUUCAACACCUGAUUUCCAUGGACAAUACCUGUUUGAAUGGGAGAUGGCAUGUGUGCGUCACCGAGUGGACCACGGUUGAGGAAAGAAUCCACCAGAAGCUCUCUGGCCUGGAUAUCUCUGCUUCAUUAAGGUAAUUGGAAGCUUUAUAAGAAAGCCCUCAACAGAGGUGAAACCAAACUGUUUUCUAUGGUGGUUUUCAAAUUGUUCUUGAAAUAAACUAAAUUGUUGUUAGAUCUAUGGCAAACGUCAGCACUUUAGCAGCAAUUUACUUGGGGAGAACGCAUAUUCUUUAAAAUGGGCAGGCUAUACUGUGCCCUUGUUCAUGUAAGAUUAUUGAAAGUAAAGAUGACUUGAAAUACAAAGUGUGUCUUAAAGUGAGGUUUUAAAAUAUCUUUCCUGCCCCAUUUUCAGCACGUCUAUUAUUAAUGUCUCUGCAACGAUUGAUUUCAGCUGUUCCUUGUCUCUUCUUGUGUCUCUGUUGUACUGAAUUUGAGGUUUGUUCUGCUGAGGAGACCCAGCCUAUCAGGGAGGAUGUGGGAGAAGGAUCAGAGCCAGCACUUGCUCCUUUAAUUCUGUCUGGCAUGUCGCUACCUAAAAUGAUACCAGGAGUCAGCUCGUGGAUGAGCCCUUGCUGACUGGCUGGCUCGUAGUCUCUUCUUAUCUGACCGGAGCAUGGAAAAUCCUGUCUUCCUGUUCCCAGAGCAAGCUGGGAUGAGCUCUCCUGCACAGACAGCAUUUAAUUUGUGAUGGUUGAUGAGAGAUGGGACUCAGUAUGUUGCCCAGGCUGGUCUUGAACUACGAGACUGAAGUGAUCCUCCUGCCUUGGCCUCCCAAAGUGCUGGGAUUACAGUCAUAAGCCACCACACCUAGCUACAACCUCUUCAGAACAUUUAUCCGGGAUAGUGAAAUCGAAAGAGGACUCAACUUGUCGUUCUUAUGCCAACGUGCUGAGUGUGGCAUGGUUGAGAGAUGAAAAAGUGGAGGCCUAAAAAGGUCAAGCUACUCAACCCAAGGACACACAGCUCCUGGAAGACUGAGCAAGAUUCUGACCCUAGGGCUGAGGCCUCCAGCCACUGUGAGCUCCCCUGCCCUGAGAAGCACGUCUGCCAUCUCUUCCUGCUCUGGGUGUCACUUAGCUCUGAAAACAUAGGCAUCGGAGUGUAGCAGACUGACUCAGAGUCCUCCCAAGAUGCAGAUUCUACUGAAAUCCAAACCCAAGGGGUCUACAAAAUGGAUAAGAAAACUGAAGCCCAGAAAAUUUAUUUCCUUCACCUGGUCACACACAGAUCUCCUGGUAUAUUCAGAACUAGAACUCAGAUACUUGAUUCCCAUUCAGAAAGAACCUGGUCAGCUGGUUCGGGGUUAAAGAGGACAGAGAACACCAGUGAAAAAACCUCCACUGAGUAAGGGAGCUACCUUGUACUUCUAUUUGGCUGCUCAGAACAUUCAGAUGCUCAUUUUCUGGUUUUAUUGGUUUUGGACAGUUGUACUCAUCAAAUUAAGUGACCUUCAGAAAAGUGAGAGAUUAUAAAUCACAUGGUUAGUUUCUUCCAACCAAAGAUAAUAGAACACUGGCUGAUGAGACUCAGUCCAAAUUCUCUGUUAUAGAAAUGCAUUGCUUGCUUAUGCAGUUGGCUUGGGAUGAGGCCAACUCUGGGUGGGGCCCAGAUUAAAGUAGCAAAGAUACUAUUAUAAAACAAUUUGACAUGGCAAAAACAGUAAACAUUUAAACUAUUACUUACAUGCCAGGUACUGUGGGCAGCACUUUGCUUGCACUAUUUCAUUUAAUUCUUAAAAGCACCCAUUUUAUAGAUGAGAAAAUUGAGGCUUAGAGAGAUUAUGUAAUUUUCCCAGGACAUACAACUUCCAAAUGGGCUGAACUAGGACUCUAAACUGCUUUAUUAUGACAAUAGUACCCAUGACUUUAACCACUACACUCUCCUGUAGAAUAUUUAGAGGUAUGUUGCGAUAGACACCAUUGUUUUAUACACGAUGUUGACACACACUUUUAAUAUAAUUUAAACUUUUCAAACACUGGUCUAUCAGGUAAGUGAAUAAGUGCAUAAUAGAAG
Molecule: long non-coding RNA, 6173 nt
Filed under: Homo sapiens (human)
Lineage: Eukaryota; Metazoa; Chordata; Mammalia; Primates; Hominidae
Description: HSALNT0183080
Source: RNAcentral